UCUCUUCAAAUUUUUAUUAAUCGAAUGUAUAAAGGAAGUUCUGGUUUACCAGAUAUAGUGAUAAACGGUUGAUGUAAUAAACUAUUCGGACCCGGGGGCGGUACCCGGCACCUCCACCAUUUAAAUAAUUUAUGGGGGUGAAAUAGGAUCGACGAGAGCGUAAAGAUCUUCUUUUUACUCGGCAUUGUUCCGCCGUUAUCGGGCUAUUAUAUAGAAGCAAAACGCGACUAUGCAGAGUACGCUCUCGCAGCUUAAUGUGUGAGUAACUCAAAUUAACUCCUAAUUAUUUGCAUAAUUAGGCGGGGUUUGAGGGGCACCUGGCAACAGAAGCUCCUUGUU
This 339-nucleotide transfer-messenger RNA is filed under the name Hyphomicrobiales bacterium. It matches the Rfam family "Alphaproteobacteria transfer-messenger RNA". Rfam says of the family: Bacterial tmRNA, also known as 10Sa RNA or SsrA, is named for its dual tRNA and mRNA-like properties. Its role is to liberate the mRNA from a stalled ribosome. Lineage: Bacteria; Pseudomonadati; Pseudomonadota; Alphaproteobacteria; Hyphomicrobiales. The record is from RNAcentral.